UUUCCACCUUUCUUGAACUUUAGAGCUAAAUCCUCCAAAAACAUCGCGGCAAAACCUUUGUAACCCCCUUUUUCAACCCAAUUGUCUCGAACAGUCAGGACAUUGAUACUUAGGGCCGAAGCUAUCUUCUUUGGUCCCAUAUCUUCUUCGAGCUUUGGAAACGGAUUAAAAUCUUUCAACUUGAGACCCACGAUCCUCUCAACUUCUUCCAAAGUAGGAGCUAGCUGGAAAUCAGCGAAUGUGAAACAACGCAGAGGUGGAUCAUAAUAUU
Molecule: long non-coding RNA, 271 nt
Filed under: Lathyrus oleraceus (garden pea)
Lineage: Eukaryota; Viridiplantae; Streptophyta; Magnoliopsida; Fabales; Fabaceae
Description: Pisum sativum (pea) long non-coding RNA (PSAT_LNC042029)
Source: RNAcentral